Solanum pennellii is the source of this 3225-nucleotide RNA transcript. It is a transcript of the gene named serine/threonine-protein kinase HT1-like, with no coding region annotated. NCBI's taxonomy places the organism in Eukaryota, Viridiplantae, Streptophyta, Magnoliopsida, Solanales, Solanaceae. The record is from RefSeq and is a predicted model, not a curated record. The transcript is spliced from 2 exons.
AAAUGAAAGAAUUUAUCAGACCUCUCACUUUCUCACUGAACUAAAAAGAACUUGGGGAAGAACACGAUUGAUGAAGUAAAAAUCACUGAAAAACCAAGCAAAAAUCUUUCUCACGGAUUUCUUCAUCUUCAUGAACUAAGUGGAAUUCAUGUGAUAUUGAAAGAAUGGGUAAGAAAAGAGUUCAUAGUUAAGAAUCAUGGUCAAUGAUAUUAGAGCAUGAUAAAAUUGAAAGUUUGGAAGUUUUUAAAGAGGAUCAAGACGAAUGGACAGUUGAUUUGUCUUGGUUGUUUAUAGGUAACAAGUUUGCUUCUAGUUCACAUAGCAGGAUUUAUAAAGGAAUUUACAAAGAAAGAGAAGUUCUUUUGAUAAUGGUGAGGAUUCCAACUCAUAAGGAGGAAACAGGAGCUAAGCUUGAACAACAGUUCAAGGCUGAGGUUCAUCUGCUUUUGCGUUUGUAUAAUCUCAACAUUUUGCAGGUUGCAGUUCCUUUACAAUACAGAAGGAUGAUUUUUUUAAUCUUUUAUUGUUUUUACUUGUAAUGUUAUACAUUACAAGUAAGCUACACUUUCUUGUUCCUUGUAAUGAUAUAUAGGCGUACUAAAUUCUUUUCGACUUCCUAUGGAAGAAAGAGUGUUAUCUUCUGUUGUGGAUAUAAGAGAAAUAGUUGCUAGGGUUAUAUAUAAUUAUAUACUGUGGCAUACGUUGUCUAUUUCUUUUUAGUAUGGUUUUGCCUCACAGGAAUGUCGAGGAACAUUGAAUUUGCUUCUCAUUCUAUUUGUUUUCCCUUUUCAUUCAAUAUGUCUCUUUCAAAUUUUCCUCACUUUGAAAAUCAACUGGCAUUUACAUCUAUAUUGAUUUUUUCUGUGGAUUCAAGGAGAGGGUCUGUAAGUUUUUAACAUGAAUGAUUGUUGGAAUUACUUCUAGUUCUUGUGUCAGAUUCAUAUUAUGCCUGUUGCGGUUCAUAAGUAUAUAUACUAGCUUGUUCUUCCUUUCGUUUUGGAUUAUUGGAGAUGGCUUUUUCUUUUUAUAUGACUUUUUGCUGCUAGAAUGGCUUAGAUUUAAAUAUAUUUUCGUUUACCUUGAAUAUGCAGUUGUAUUAGCAUAUAGGAUUCCCUUACCACAUUUAAAUCACAUUCAAAUAUUUUUUAUAAGAAGGUGAAUAAUCAGCUUCAUGUUUCUUUUGAAGCAAUUAGAAUCUUUAGAGAGCAAAGGACAAGAAGUUGUGUGUGAGUUGACUGGUUAAUUGGUUUUGAGUUUAGAUCAUCUGUAGGUGUUUUAGUUCCUAUAUCUCUCACCGAGGCAUAUUUUAAUGGUUAUUAACACUUAAGCGCAUCUUAAUCGAUAUUUACGAAACUGAGACACCUUGUUGUAGCUGUUAUCCUCUGUAAUCUGGUUUGACACUACACUUUAUGUUUUUUCACUACCUUUAAAUGUAAGCUGGUACAUAUACAUAGUAUCUAAUCUGUUUCAUUUUCCUUCAGUGACACAUUUCUUUAAUGGGUGUUUGAUUCUUAUCUAAUAUCUUCUCCACAUUAAGUAGCUUAAGCAUAUUUAUUCAGUUUGUCGAGUGAGUAAACAACUCUUGCUACAUUUCCUUUGCGAUUUUUGAACUAUUGUCUGUGUGCAGGUUCGUUUCCCUCUUUGCUUCUUUAUAUGUCCAUAUCCAAUGUUAGUUAAUAAGCUUCUAUAUAUUCUCAAAAUAUUUGCUUUUUUAGAAAUUUAAUGAUUUUCAUUGUUCGGUAUUGAGUUUGUAUUGUUGGACGACUUCUAUUGCAGCUUGAGGAAUGAGAACAUUUCAUUUGCCUGUGUGUUAUAUGAAUGUAAACUAGAGUAGACUCAUUUUUUUGGUAAGUAAUGAAAUAUAAUACUCACUUAAGAUGUUGGAAUCAGCUUAUAUGAGAAAGAAAGACAUGAUUGAGUUAACAAAAAUGUGGUCGUACCACUCCAACAUGGAAACCAAACAGAAGUUGCACUAGAAUGAGUAGGAAUGAAUUUUGAGGCUUCUUUUUCUGCAUGCUGGUAGAACAUUUAGUUGAUUCUCAAAGUUGUAGUCAUUUCCCUAAGUUAGCUUUCAUGAACUUACUGCAAACUUAACUUUUAUUCCUUCUAGUUGCAAGAACUAAUUAGGUAAUAUCUUCUUAGAGACAUCAUCUUUUACUCGACGUGAUUUACAUCAUCCACAACUUAUAUCUAGAAGUAAUAUCAUCACUAAGUUACAUGUUUCUGCUAAGCUGUGGAAAGGCACCCUCUUUUAGGCUUUUACACCGUAAUAGAAGUUGAAUACAAGUAGUUAAAGGAAUAAUCUCUUCUCAUGUCGCAUUUCGGUUUACAGGUUUUAGUUUUUAUUUUGUUCCAUAUGUGAAGUAAGUUUGGACUAAUACACAAAGUGUAGGAGAUAACAAUUUUCUGGAUGGAGGUAGGAGAUACCCCUUCAAUUAUCAUGGUGCACGCGAUCUAGCCUCAGUACCGUUGUAAAAAAAGAAGAAGAAUUUGAUCCAACUAGUAAGAGAAAUAUAAAAGAUCUUAACAGAAAAUCGUGAGACCUCAUUUUUUAAGAUAAACAAAAGCAGAACUAACAACAAUAUCAGCCGGUGAUAUUCUAAUUGGACAUUAACAUACAACAACACUACUACACCUCAAUCCGAAAAAAGUUGGGGUUGACUAUAGGAAUUCAAAGACCUUAUAAAUUUUUCAAGAGAACUUCCUUCAAUGAUAUUUUAGGUCUCCACUCACCAUGAUUUAACAUUCAGGGUCUAGCACCUCUUGAGGUUAUCACACAGAGAAUAUGAAACAAAUACAGGAGGCUUUGGCUACACCAAUUGGUGCAACAACUGAUUUUGAUGAGGAUGAAUUAUAGGCAGAACUUGAAGAAUUUGAAGGUGCUAAAUUAGAAGAGCAGCUACUUCAGGCAGCAACUACAACUCCUGCUUCUCCAGUCCAUGUUCCUGCAGGGAAGAAACCUGCUCGGCCUAUUGCUUAGAAGCAUACAACUGAAGAAGAUAAACUUGCUACGAUGCAAGAAGAGAUGACUCUUUGAGCUAGUCUAUACAUUAUUUUAACCUGUAGUUAUAAUUACCAACCAAUAUGAAAUUAUACAUGUCUAUGACUUUUCACUAGUAACUUACUGAUUGGUGAAAGGUGAGCUCCUUCUUUUGAUAGAUGUCAUUAAAAGACAUACAAAUAUUUUUUAUAUGAAUUGUUGGAAUGCUUACUUACAUUUGCAUA